This 490-nucleotide ribosomal RNA is filed under the name uncultured Flavobacterium sp. Its description in RNAcentral is "bacterial SSU rRNA". It matches the Rfam family "Bacterial small subunit ribosomal RNA", at positions 9 to 502 of the family's 1533-position model. The record is from RNAcentral. Lineage: Bacteria; Pseudomonadati; Bacteroidota; Flavobacteriia; Flavobacteriales; Flavobacteriaceae.
GAGUUUGAUCUUGGCUCAGGAUGAACGCUAGCGGCAGGCUUAACACAUGCAAGUCGAGGGGUAUAGGUUUUCGGACCUAGAGACCGGCGCACGGGUGCGUAACGCGUAUGCAAUCUGCCUUUUACAGAGGGAUAGCCCAGAGAAAUUUGGAUUAAUACCUCAUAGUAUUAUGAAUCGGCAUCGAUUUAUAAUUAAAGUUCCAACGGUAAAGAUGAGCAUGCGUCCCAUUAGCUAGAUGGUAAGGUAACGGCUUACCAUGGCGACGAUGGGUAGGGGUCCUGAGAGGGAGAUCCCCCACACUGGUACUGAGACACGGACCAGACUCCUACGGGAGGCAGCAGUGAGGAAUAUUGGUCAAUGGGCGCAAGCCUGAACCAGCCAUGCCGCGUGCAGGAUGACGGUCCUAUGGAUUGUAACUGCUUUUGUACAGGAAGAAACACUGGUUCGUGAACCAGCUUGACGGUACUGUAAGAAUAAGGAUCGGCUAACU